RNAcentral lists this ribosomal RNA (499 nucleotides) under uncultured bacterium. Its description in RNAcentral is "bacterial SSU rRNA". It matches the Rfam family "Bacterial small subunit ribosomal RNA", at positions 8 to 518 of the family's 1533-position model. The record is from RNAcentral.
AGAGUUUGAUUAUGGCUCAGGAUGAACGCUGGCGGCGUGCUUAACACAUGCAAGUCGAACGAAGCAGCUUCUGCUUGCAAGAAAGCUGACUAGUGGCGGACGGGUGAGUAACGCGUGGGUAACCUGCCUCAUACAGGGGGAUAACAGUUGGAAACGACUGCUAAGACCGCAUAACCCGCUAGUGUCGCAUGACACGGACGGAAAAUAUUUAUAGGUAUGAGAUGGGCCCGCGUCUGAUUAGCUAGUUGGUAAGGUAACGGCUUACCAGGGCGACGAUCAGUAGCCGACUUGAGAGAGUGAUCGGCCACAUUGGGACUGAGACACGGCCCAAACUCCUACGGGAGGCAGCAGUGGGGAAUAUUGGACAAUGGGGGAAACCCUGAUCCAGCGAACCGCCGCGUGAGUGAAGAAGUAUUUCGGUAUGUAAAGCUCUAUCAGCAGGGAAGAUAAUGACAGUACCUGACUAAGAAGCCCCGGCUAACUACGUGCCAGCCGCUGC